AGCAGUAGCCGCGGGAAUACGUAGGUCCCGAGUGUUGUCCGGAUUUAUUGGGCGUAAAGCGAGCGCAGGCGGUUAGAUAAGUCUGAAGUUAAAGGCUGUGGCUUAACCAUAGUACGCUUUGGAAACUGUUUAACUUGAGUGCAAGAGGGGAGAGUGGAAUUCCAUGUGUAGCGGUGAAAUGCGUAGAUAUAUGGAGGAACACCGGUGGCGAAAGCGGCUCUCUGGCUUGUAACUGACGCUGAGGCUCGAAAGCGUGGGGAGCAAACAGGAUUAGAUACCCCCGUAGUCCCUGUCUCUUAUACA
RNAcentral lists this ribosomal RNA (303 nucleotides) under uncultured bacterium. RNAcentral's name for it is "partial 16S ribosomal RNA". It matches the Rfam family "Bacterial small subunit ribosomal RNA", at positions 507 to 808 of the family's 1533-position model. The record is from RNAcentral.